UGGGGAAUAUUGUACAAUGGGCGAAAGCCUGAUCCAGCCAUGCCGCGCGUGUGAAGAAGGCCUUUUGGUUGUAAAGCACUUUAAGCGUGGAGGAGGCUACUUGGAUUAAUACUCUAGGAUAGUGGACGUUACUCGCAGAAUAAGCACCGGCUAACUCUGUGCCAGCAGCCGCGGUAAUACCGAGGGUGCGAGCGUUAAUCGGAUUUACUGGGCGUAAAGCGUGCGUAGGCGGCUUCUUAAGUCGGAUGUGAAAUCCCUGAGCUUAACUUAGGAAUUGCAUUCGGUACUGGGAAGCUAGAGUAUGGGAGAGGAUGGUAGAAUUCCAGGUGUAGCAGUGAAAUGCGUAGGGAUCUGGAGGAAUACCGAUGGCGAAGGCAGCCAUCUGGCCUAAUACUGACGCUGAGGUACGAAAGCAUGGGGAGCAAACAGG
Molecule: ribosomal RNA, 430 nt
Filed under: Acidobacteriota bacterium
Lineage: Bacteria; Pseudomonadati; Acidobacteriota
Description: Acidobacteria bacterium partial 16S ribosomal RNA
Rfam family: Bacterial small subunit ribosomal RNA
Source: RNAcentral